GACGAACGCUGGCGGCGUGCUUAACACAUGCAAGUCGAACGGAAAGGCCCUGCUUUUGUGGGGUGCUCGAGUGGCGAACGGGGGCGUAACACGUGAGUAACCUAACCUUGACUUUGGGAUAACUUCAGGAAACUGGGGUUAAUACCGUAUAGCAGCUCCUCCUCCAUGGUGGGGGUUGGAAAGUUUCGGCGGUUGGGGCUGGACGGGCGGCUUAUGAGCUUGUUGGUGGGGUAGUGGCUUACCAAGGCUUUGACGGGUAGCCGGCCUGAGAGGGUGACCGGCGACAUUGGGACUGCGAUACGGCCCAGACUGCUACGGGAGGCAGCAGUGGGGAAUAUUGCACAAUGGGAGGAAGCCUGAUGCAGCAGCGCCGCGUGCGGGAUGACGGCCUUCGGGUUGAAAACCGCUGUCGCCUGUGACGAAGCGUGUGUGACGGUAAUGGGUAAAGAAGCACCGGCUAACUACGUG
Molecule: ribosomal RNA, 468 nt
Filed under: uncultured bacterium
Lineage: Bacteria
Description: partial 16S ribosomal RNA
Rfam family: Bacterial small subunit ribosomal RNA
Source: RNAcentral